GACAGAGGUGCCGAGCGUUAGGCGGAAUCACUGGGCUUAAAGCGUGUGUAGGCGGAUCGUUAAGUGUCUUGUGAAAUCCCACGGCUCAACCGUGGAAUGGCUGGGCAUACUGGCGAUCUUGAGCGGCCUAGGGGCAGAUGGAACAAGUGGUGGAGCGGUGAAAUGCGUAGAUAUCACUUGGAACGCCAAUGGUGAAAACAACUCGCUGGGGAAGUGCUGACGCUGAGACACGAAAGCCAGGGGAGCGAACGGG
RNAcentral lists this ribosomal RNA (253 nucleotides) under uncultured bacterium. Its description in RNAcentral is "partial 16S ribosomal RNA". It matches the Rfam family "Bacterial small subunit ribosomal RNA", at positions 524 to 776 of the family's 1533-position model. The record is from RNAcentral.